This is a non-coding RNA of Lactuca sativa (garden lettuce), 2524 nucleotides long. The record is from RefSeq and is a predicted model, not a curated record. NCBI's taxonomy places the organism in Eukaryota, Viridiplantae, Streptophyta, Magnoliopsida, Asterales, Asteraceae.
UUCGUUGGCAUUUUUCUUCUGGGCACUUUAUGCCAUUUUCUCCGUUCUUUGUCGACACAUGUUGUGAUUCUCAAUCCACCGCUUCAGUUGUCCAAUGGUUUUGCUCCACCGAUCGUUACUUUAAGCUAACUCCAUCAUACGUCUCCUUCAUCUUCACAUGGAAAAUAGACAUUGACGGAGCGCGGUGCCAAAAACUUGCAACCGUACAACUUCUCCACACCACCAUCAUCGAUCCUUCAUCGACGUUCUUAUCCAAUCCGUUGUUACAGCCAUACAUACGAUUCGCCCUCCCUCUCUCUCGAUUCCAGAUUGCUCAGAUGGGUUCAUUUUAUGCCAUCCUAAGGUUACUUCCACCGACUCACCAUCAUCGAUUCGAACACCAGUGUUUAUGCCGAUAUUUGAGGAACUUUCUUGCUUAUUUAACAACUUAUGGAGGACUACAUCUGAUUUGGAGAGAUUAGAAAAGAUGAUAUAUCAUUCAAUUCGACUAGCAGCAGAUGUUCAUCGACAGUUGAAUAAGUUGUUCAGGGUAUGUAUAAUCACAGAGCAUAUUUUCCUCUCACAGUCCCUCUCUAACCCUAAAAACUGAAGAGAGGAGCAUGGCGAUUUUCAUAUGCGAGAGGUAUGGGAGAGACAAUGGAAACAGGAUAAUCGAAGGGGGGCAUUGAAGGCAGAGACUAAUUGCAACUUUUUUCACUAAUGCCUAAUUGAUUUGUUAAUGAAAUGUCAGGGAAAGCUAUCAGAUGUUCAGUGCGGGGAGCAGAUGGAACUACAACAUAAUAUGUAGGUAGUGCACUAUUCUUCUUUCUGUUUUCUAUGUCUUCCCUUUUCCAUCUUAGCGGGUAAAAAAGUUUUCAAUUGCUUACUUGCUCCCACAUGUGAUUGUAGUUGAAUAAGAAUAUGGUGUUUGGAUGGUAACAUAAUGCUUUUCUUUUGAUUUACUGUUGGACAGACUACGUUAUUAAAAGAAUGUAAAGUUUCUAAUUUGUACAAUGAUAUCAUAUGGCUUAACAUUAUUCUUAAUGGAUCUAUCUUUGGAUCCUACGCUUUGGAUAUAAUCAAUGUUCGUAUACAGCUUUUCACUGAAUUUUAUGGUGGUUUUAUAGUUGUAUGUUAUUCAUAUUUGCAGGUUUUGAAAUACAAUAUAGCAGCUGCUCAUAUUAGAUAAUUAUGACUUUUUUGGUUAUAGUAGCCUCAUGGCUCUACAACGAUUUAGAUUAUGUUGCCAUCCAAACACUUGCUUUUAUGCUCAGUGGAGAACCUGAUUUAAAUUUAGGCUCUACACAAGAUGGCCUACCAUAUUUUAGGCAACAAAUGUAAUGUUCCAACUCAUUCUUCAUUUUCCAUUUAAAAGACAUUUUUUUGCAUCUUCAACUUAAAGAAAUGGUUUUAAAAUACAAAUUUAAUCAAAAAUAUAGUUUUAAUUAACUUAUUUAGACAAAAUAGUUUUAAUUUUGACAUUCAAAUGUGAUGAAAUGAUAGAUUUGUCUUUCAUAUAGCAUUUCCUAUACUGCUUCAACUUUGAAGGUUUGCUUCUUCUUAUUUUACUCUUUUCAUUUUAGCAAAUCAAGUUUUCUCAAUUCUUAAUAUUAAAUUUGAUAACGUUUAUUUUUUUAUUGAAAAUUACAAACACUUUUUUUACGGUAUACUAUAUUUUUUUGGAUAAUAGAUGGUAUAUAUAUAUAUAUAUAUAUAUAUAUAUAUAUAUAUAUAUAUAUAUAUAUAUAUGUGUGUGUGUGUGUGUGUGUGUGUGAAAAAUUGCAUUUUAGCCUAAUAACCAUUUCAAGUUUCAUAAUGUUCCCAUAUUAUUCAAAGUUAACAUAAAUGCUUCGUCUUUUACUAAUAUUACAAAAAUGCAAGGUAAGAUAAAUUGGUGAAUUUUAUCGGAAUGGUCCAUGCAUAUAAAGUUUUUCAGAAAUGGUUCCAGUUCAACUAUUUUCAUGUCUAUUCGUUAGAAAAUAUGGGUAUAUCAGAUUUUAUGAAAGAACAAUUCAUUUUAGAAUAAACUUUUAAUGAUUUGCAUAUGUUUUUUUUAAUAAAUAUGCACAACUCAUGCAUUUCAUAAAAGUACAGUGUUAAGGGAUUAGGAGAGCCAAUGCGUUAAUGAAAUCGUGAAAAUAGUGAAAAAGAAGGUUAGAUUUCCCUGAAAUAUUUUAAAAAACAUCUAUUUGUUAAAAUUUAUUAAUGUAAAUUGUUUUCUUUAACUGCAGCCUGAACUUCAUUGAAAAGAGAAGAUAUUACUUACAGUGAUUUUCAUGUGAGAGUUAUGAUUAUUCAUUGUUUCGCUUUCCAGAUUUACAGAAAUGCAAAGUACACGUGCAACCAUGGAUGUCCAUUCAUAAAUGCUUACUGAACUUGAUCCACAAAAGAAAUAGGGAUUUUGGAAAAACUUUAUUGGAGACUUGGUAGAAUUUUUUGUUUUGUUUUCUACAUCGAAUUUUAAAUGAAACUUGAAGGAGAAUUACAAUCUUUAUGUAAUAUCCGUACAGAGCAGUUCACUCAUCUCUUGAAACACAUUACUAUA